GUGUAAUGGCAGUGGAGUAAGCAUUCAUGUGUGGAAGAAGAUUGGAAACGUGUUUCCAGGGGAACAAGGAACAGAAAUUGCCCACUGAAAACGAACAACAUCUGAAAUGGUUUGAUUUGCACAGGAUUAACAUUGUCAGGGGACGUCUGUCAUUGCAGAAAUAUGGCAGAUCAUUUUCUGUGGAUUUUUUUACAGAUUCAGAAAGUAUUAAAAUCACUGUGCACAAUUAUCAUAAAUUAACGCACGUCCAUAGGAAAUGUUUGUGCUGUGCCGACAGGCCUCUUCUGUCACUCUUCUCACACUCACACACACACAGUCAAUGUGUUUAAAUGAAGACAAUGUCAGGCUGCCAAUAUUAUUUUUAUUAACUUCCUGAAUCCUGAUUUCUACUUAAAUUCAUGUAAAGUUGAAAAAAAUAUUAAUAAACUUUCAACACAUACUCCCACAGCACUGAAACAUCGACAGCAACUUACAGUAUCUACACUAUGUACUUUCUUGUCCUUACUGACUGCCCGUCACUCUCCCACAUGACACACACGAGUGCUUUGAGGGUCCGUGUAUGUUUUGGUCAUUGGAUUUUCCUUUCAGAAACGAGUAUUAAAAAACAGAAAACGAGUGGUUAUUUGAUUUUCGUUUUAAAAUACAAAAAUUAAAAUUGAAAUACAAGGCGUUUUUCUUUUUCAUGGUCAAAAAGGGAUGAGCGAAAUUAAAAAAAUGAUUCGAUUUUCAUUUUCUAUUUCAUAUAACAAAAAAUAAAAUCACUAGAAAACAGAAACGGAGAAAAGACCUGUUUUUUCAUAUUCUGAGACCGGAUGUUGUCAUUUACAGGACGGUGCUGUGUAGAAGAAACAGUAGACUAGUAGACUGUGGUCAAUCUGAGCAAUGUGUUUUUACAGUACCUCAAAUAUGGUCAAAUAUGCAAUCUCUGGAGGCAUAAAUAUGAGGCUUUUAUUUUGGCAUUUCUCCACACUGGUGCAGUAAAGAUACUUGAUAUAAAGUGUUUUUUUAUUCAUCAGGGGCGCAUGAAACACUUUAAUGUAACAUAUUUUAAUUAUAGCUUACUGUUCUAAAUACCUUUAUUUUGAAAACCGGAAGUAAAUACUGCGUUUCUCCGCAUUUACCAUAAUGCUGAGAAUACUUGUACACUCUAAAUUUAAGUGUGGCUGAUUUGACCACGGAGAUCGAACUCACGGCUGGAUUGACCGCAGUCUACUAGUCUACUGUUUCUUCUACACAGCACCGUCCUGUAAAUGACAACAUCCGGUCUCAGAAUAUGAAAAAACAGGUCUUUUCUCCGUUUCUGUUUUCUAGUGAUUUUAUUUUUUGUUACAUGAAAUAGAAAAUGAAAAUCGAAUAAUUUUUUUAAUUUCGCUCAUCCCUUUCUGACCAUGAAAAAGAAAAACGCCUUGUAUUUCAAUUUUAAUUUUUGUAUUUUAAAACGAAUAAUCAAAUAACCACUCGUUUUCUGUUUUUUAAUAUCCGUUUCUGAAAGGAAAAUCCAAUGACCAAAACAUACACGGACCCUACUUACUUAGUGGUAAGAUUUUACAGACAAAACAAAUAAAUUAAUAAAUUAAAUAUGACUUUC
Dicentrarchus labrax (European seabass) is the source of this 1588-nucleotide long non-coding RNA. The record is from Ensembl. NCBI's taxonomy places the organism in Eukaryota, Metazoa, Chordata, Actinopteri, Moronidae.